AAAAAUUCUAAGGCCAACGGGAGAAGGGUAGUUAAGGAACUCGGCAAGUUGACCCCGUAACUUAGGGAUAAGGGGUGCUCUCGAAAGAGAGCCGCAGAGAAUAGGCCCAGGCGACUGUUUAGCAAAAACACAGCUCUAUGCUAAAUCGAAAGAUGAUGUAUAUGGGGUGACACCUGCCCGGUGCCGGAAGGUUAAGAGGAGGAGUGAGAGCUCUGAAUUGAAGCCCCGGUAAACGGCGGCCGUAACAAUAACGGUCCUAAGGUAGCGAAAUUCCUUGUCAGGUAAGUUCUGACCCGCACGAAUGGUGUAACGAUCUGGGCACUGUCUCAACUACCCGCCCGGCGAAAUUGUAGUACCGGUGAAGAUGCCGGUUACCCGCGACUAGACGGAAAGACCCCAUGGAGCUUUACUGUAGCUUAAUGUUGAAUUUCGGUAUUUCAUGUACAGGAUAGGUGGGAGACUAAGAAGCAGGGGCGUCAGCUUCUGUGGAGUCAACCUUGGGAUACCACUCUUGAAGUGCUGGAAUUCUAACCUGCGGCCGUGAAUCCGGUCGGGGGACAUCGUUAGGUGGGCAGUUUGACUGGGGCGGUCGCCUCCCAAAGAGUAACGGAGGCGCUCAAAGGUUCGCUCAGCAUGGACGGAAACCAUGCUCUUGAGUGUAAACGCAAAAGCGAGCCUAACUGCGAGACUGACGGGUCGAGCAGUAACGAAAGUUGGAGUUAGUGAUCCGGCGGUAUGUGAGUGGAAAUGCCGUCGCUCAACGGAUAAAAGCUACCCUGGGGAUAACAGGCUGAUCUCCCCCAAGAGUCCACAUCGACGGGGAGGUUUGGCACCUCGAUGUCGGCUCAUCGCAUCCUGGGGCUGUAUUCGGUCCCAAGGGUUUGGCUGUUCGCCAAUUAAAGCGGUACGCGAGCUGGGUUCAGAACGUCGUGAGACAGUUCGGUCCCUAUCUGUCGUGGGCGUAGGAUAUUUGAAAGGAGCUGUCCCUAGUACGAGAGGACCGGGAUGGACGCACCUCUGGUGCACCAGUUGUCACGCCAGUGGCACAGCUGGGCAGCUAAGUGCGGAUCGGAUAAACGCUGAAGGCAUCUAAGCGUGAAGCCGUCCUUAAGAUAAGAUAUCCCAUCAGGUCAACUGAGUAAGACCCCUCAAAGACUAUGAGGUUGAUAGGCCUAAGGUGUACGCAUGGUGACAUGUUCAGCCUGCAGGUACUAAUCGGUCGAGGGCUUGACAG
This 1234-nucleotide ribosomal RNA is filed under the name metagenome. RNAcentral's name for it is "bacterial LSU rRNA". It matches the Rfam family "Bacterial large subunit ribosomal RNA", at positions 1674 to 2925 of the family's 2925-position model. The record is from RNAcentral.